This 380-nucleotide ribosomal RNA is filed under the name uncultured eukaryote. RNAcentral describes it as "partial 18S ribosomal RNA". It matches the Rfam family "Eukaryotic small subunit ribosomal RNA", at positions 592 to 976 of the family's 1831-position model. The record is from RNAcentral.
CAAUAGCGUAUAUUAAAGUUGUUGCGGUUAAAAAGCUCGUAGUUGGAUUUCUGCCGAGGACGACCGGUCCGCCCUCUGGGUGAGUAUCUGGCUCGGCCUGGGCAUCUUCUUGGAGAACGUAGCUGCACUUGACUGUGUGGUGCGGUAUCCAGGACUUUUACUUUGAGGAAAUUAGAGUGUUUCAAGCAGGCUUACGCCUUGAAUACAUUAGCAUGGAAUAAUAAGAUAGGACCUCGGUUCUAUUUUGUUGGUUUCUAGAGCUGAGGUAAUGAUUAAUAGGGAUAGUUGGGGGCAUUCGUAUUUAACUGUCAGAGGUGAAAUUCUUGGAUUUGUUAAGGACGGACUACUGCGAAAGCAUUUGCCAAGGAUGUUUUCAUUGA